Long non-coding RNA from Serinus canaria (Common canary), 1352 nucleotides. RefSeq lists it as uncharacterized. The record is from RefSeq and is a predicted model, not a curated record. The transcript has 4 exons. NCBI's taxonomy places the organism in Eukaryota, Metazoa, Chordata, Aves, Passeriformes, Fringillidae.
CAGGUGCUCCCACCCUGUCCCAGGUGAGUCCCAGGUGCUCCCACCCUGUCCCAGGUGAGUCCCAGGUGCUCCCACCUUGUCCCAGGUGAGUCCCAGGUGCUCCCACCUUGUCCCUGGUGAGUCCCAGGUGCUCCCACCCUGUCCCAGGUGAGUCCCAGGUGCUCCCACCCUGUCCCAGGUGAGUCCCAGGUGCUCCCACCCUGUCCCAGGUGAGUCCCAGGUGCUCCCACCCUGUCCCAGGUGAGUCCCAGGUGCUCCCACCCUGUCCCAGGUGAGUCCCAGGUGCUCCCACCCUGUCCCAGGUGAGUCCCAGGUGCUCCCACCCUGUCCCAGGUGAGUCCCAGGUGCUCCCACCCUGUCCCAGGUGAGUCCCAGGUGCUCCCACCUUGUCCCAGGUGAGUCCCAGGUGCUCCCACCUUGUCCCAGGUGAGUCCCAGGUGCUCCCACCUUGUCCCAGGUGAGUCCCAGGUGCUCCCACCUUGUCCCAGGUGAGUCCCAGGUGCUCCCACCUUGUCCCUGGUGAGUCCCAGGUGCUCCCACCUUGUCCCAGGUGAGUCCCAGGUGCUCCCACCUUGUCCCAGGUGAGUCCCAGGUGCUCCCACCUUGUCCCAGGUGAGUCCCAGGUGCUCCCACCCUCUUCCAGAGAAGCUCUGGCUGCUCCUGGAUCCCUGGAAGUGUCCAAGGCCGGGAUAUUUUUUACUAUUUAGGAAAAAAAUCCACUUUAUUUAAGAAAAAAACCCUUUUUUAGUUGUAAUUCUCAUGUUUUUCCCUCACAAUUCCAAGGCCAGGAUAAUUUUUACUAUUUAGGAAAAAAAAUCCACUUUAUUUAAGAAAAAACUCUCUUUUAGUUGUAAUUCUCAUGUUUUUCCCUCACAAUUCCACUCUGGCACUGGAAUUACCACAAUUUGCUGUGGCAAAGGAUAGAAUUUAACCAGUUGAAUUCAUUUAUGAUUUCAUUUCAUUGAAAUGAAAGAAUUUAAUGAAAUCUUCUGGGUUGGGAUCUGUCGUCUCCAUGGAGAUGAAGGAAGUUCCUCAUCUCUGCCACGAGGAUUGGGAAUAAACAAGGAGGGCUGGAAUGACAAUGGAUAUUUCAGCUGAUAAUUAACUGAAUUUAGAGCAGUUUUCCUCAGAACCUGCAUUAAAAUCACAUUUUAAUGAGGAUAUGGGGUCACUGUGACCCUGCUUGGCACUGUAAAUAAAUUAAAAGUGAGAAGCCAAGAGCAUCCCUGAAAUCUGGGCUGGCUUUGCUUUGUUUUGUUGUCACUUUUGGGUUGGUUUUUUUUUGCCUUUCUUUGUGCACAGAUAUGGGAGGAACAUGAAUUAAAGUGGUUUUUUUUUUUUUGAUUAUUUUU